Long non-coding RNA from Triplophysa dalaica, 306 nucleotides. RefSeq lists it as uncharacterized. Lineage: Eukaryota; Metazoa; Chordata; Actinopteri; Cypriniformes; Nemacheilidae. The transcript is spliced from 3 exons. The record is from RefSeq and is a predicted model, not a curated record.
UUAAUAGAUUUUCUAGAAAAAUUAUUUGGCUUAAGGCUGGCACCACUAACAGAAAACAGAGCUUCAUUGCAAGGUACUUCUAUGAUGCUGUUCGAGAACACGGUGGUUGCCCACGGAUCGUACGGGCACACAGGGGAACAGAGAACCUUAUUGUUGGACAGAUGCAAGUGGCAUUUCAUUUCAGGCAGGCUACGGAUCAAGGACGAGACUCCUUCAGAGUGGGCAAGUCAGUACAUAAUCAGAGAGCUGAAUUCUUCAAUAGCAUGUUAAAGAAAACAUGGAUUAAAAAAUGGCAGGUUACAUUUG